CCUACGGGAGGCAGCAGUGAGGAAUAUUGGUCAAUGGGCGCGAGCCUGAACCAGCCAAGUAGCGUGAAGGAUGACUGCCCUACGGGUUGUAAACUUCUUUUAUAAAGGAAUAAAGUGAGGCACGUGUGCCUUUUUGUAUGUACUUUAUGAAUAAGGAUCGGCUAACUCCGUGCCAGCAGCCGCGGUAAUACGGAGGAUCCGAGCGUUAUCCGGAUUUAUUGGGUUUAAAGGGAGCGUAGAUGGGUUGUUAAGUCAGUUGUGAAAGCUUGCGGCUCAACCGUAAAAUGGCAAUUGAUACUGGCAGUCUUGAGUGCAGUAGAGGUGAGUGGAAUUCGUGGUGUAGCGGUGAAAUGCUUAGAUAUCACGAAGAACUCCGAUUGCGAAGGCAGCUUACUGGACUGCCACUGACGUUGAGGCUCGAAAGUGUGGGUAUCAAACAGGAUUAGAUACCCUAGUAGUC
Molecule: ribosomal RNA, 460 nt
Filed under: uncultured bacterium
Lineage: Bacteria
Description: partial 16S ribosomal RNA
Rfam family: Bacterial small subunit ribosomal RNA
Source: RNAcentral